AACGGGUGAGUAACAUAUCGGAACAUACCGUAGAGUGGGGGAUAACGUAGCGAAAGUUACGCUAAUACCGCAUACGCACUAAGGUGGAAAGUGGGGGAUCUUCGGACCUCAUGCUCAUGGAGUGGCCGAUAUCUGAUUAGCUAGUUGGUGAGGUAAAGGCUCACCAAGGCGACGAUCAGUAGCUGGUUUGAGAGAACGACCAGCCACACUGGAACUGAGACACGGUCCAGACUCCUACGGGAGGCAGCAGUGGGGAAUUUUGGACAAUGGGCGCAAGCCUGAUCCAGCAAUGCCGCGUGCAGGAUGAAGGCCUUCGGGUUGUAAACUGCUUUUGUACGGAACGAAACGGUGAGCUCUAAUACAGUUUGCUAAUGACGGUACCGUAAGAAUAAGCACCGGCUAACUACGUG
RNAcentral lists this ribosomal RNA (410 nucleotides) under uncultured bacterium. RNAcentral describes it as "bacterial SSU rRNA". It matches the Rfam family "Bacterial small subunit ribosomal RNA", at positions 101 to 507 of the family's 1533-position model. The record is from RNAcentral.